Molecule: ribosomal RNA, 320 nt
Filed under: uncultured eukaryote
Lineage: Eukaryota
Description: partial 18S ribosomal RNA
Rfam family: Eukaryotic small subunit ribosomal RNA
Source: RNAcentral
CCCUUAGAUGUUCUGGGCUGCACGCGUGUUACAAUCGGGAGUACAACAAGAUUGCAAAUCCUAGUGGAUGAGUGGUUCUUCGAAAUUUUCUGAAGACUGGGAUAGUUGAUUGAAAUUACUCAACUCAAACGAGGAAUUCCUUGUAAUUGUAAUUCAUUAUAUUGUAAUGAAUACGUCCCUGCCCUUUGUACACACCGCCCGUCGCUCCUACCGAUUGAACGAUCCGGUGAAUUAUUUGGAGUAGCUCUGGAAGUUGCAGAACUUCCUAUGUCACGAAAUUUUGUAAACCUUAUCGUUUAGAGGAAGGAAAAGUCGUAACA